UACGGAGGGUGCGAGCGUUAAUCGGAAUUACUGGGCGUAAAGGGUGCGCAGGCGGUGGCCCGCGUGGGCGGUGAAAGCUCCUGGCUCAACUGGGAGAGGGCCGUCCAGACGGGGUCACUUGAGAGGCGGGAGAGGGGCGUGGAAUUCCGGGUGGAGCGGUGAAAUGCGUAGAGAUCCGGAGGAACACCGACGGCGAAGGCAGCGCCCUGGCCCGCCAUCUGACGCUCAGGCACGAAAGCUGGGGGAGCGAACAGG
RNAcentral lists this ribosomal RNA (255 nucleotides) under uncultured bacterium. RNAcentral describes it as "partial 16S ribosomal RNA". It matches the Rfam family "Bacterial small subunit ribosomal RNA", at positions 524 to 776 of the family's 1533-position model. The record is from RNAcentral.